CCUCGCUGUGCAGUCCCUAUGGGCCUCGCUGUGCAGUCCCUAUGGGCCUCGCUGUGCAGUCCCUAAGGGCCUCGCUGUGCAGUCCCUAAGGGCCUCGCUGUGCAGUCCCUAAGGGCCUCGCUGUGCAGUCCCUAAGGGCCUCGCUGUGCAGUCCCAGUCCGGUCGUGAUACAGCCAGGAUUCUAACCAGGGCGCCUGUAGUGACACCUAAAGCACUGAGAUGCAGUGCCUUAGACCGCUGCAUCACUCAGGAGCCCCAGAUCAGACAUCUACCGGCCCUCGAGGUCAGACAUCUACCGGCCCUCGAGGUCAGACAUCUACCGGCCCUCGAGGUCAGACAUCUACCGGCCCUCGAGGUCAGACAUCUACCGGCCCUCGAGGUCAGACAUCUACCGGCC
This is a long non-coding RNA of Oncorhynchus tshawytscha (Chinook salmon), 397 nucleotides long. The record is from Ensembl. Lineage: Eukaryota; Metazoa; Chordata; Actinopteri; Salmoniformes; Salmonidae.